RNAcentral lists this ribosomal RNA (253 nucleotides) under uncultured bacterium. RNAcentral describes it as "partial 16S ribosomal RNA". It matches the Rfam family "Bacterial small subunit ribosomal RNA", at positions 524 to 776 of the family's 1533-position model. RNAcentral also lists the same sequence under 1 other name. The record is from RNAcentral.
UACGGAGGAUCCAAGCGUUAUCCGGAAUCAUUGGGUUUAAAGGGUCCGUAGGCGGCCUUAUAAGUCAGUGGUGAAAUCUCCUAGCUCAACUAGGAAACUGCCAUUGAUACUGUAGGGCUUGAAUUAUUGUGAAGUAACUAGAAUAUGUAGUGUAGCGGUGAAAUGCUUAGAUAUUACAUGGAAUACCAAUUGCGAAGGCAGGUUACUAACAAUAUAUUGACGCUGAUGGACGAAAGCGUGGGGAGCGAACAGG